UGACCCUCAGCGCUGAAAUGGGAACUUACAUUUGGAGGAGCUAUCUCGCCAGCUGGGAAGCUGCAGAGCAUCGUUCCAUUGGUGAAGAGCAUCCACAGAGAGUGAGGUUCCCCAAGCAUCGCCUGCCCACAUGGACACCAGGGAAAGGGACUGAAGAGGAUCAGACUGCGAAUGUAGGGAGCAAACAGAUGGAGAGGAACAGCACCAAACAAGAACUCCAUCAUGCCACCCUUUGACAAAAGGUCUUCCACUGCAAACCUGCCACCAAGCACACAGAGCAAGAUGCCCUGUAUUGACCUGCUGAGCGCAUCACUGCCGCCCUGGGCACAAGUACUGCAGGCACCCUUUGAACAGCCUUCAUGUCCCCUCUGAGCACCCUCCUACCACUGCCAUGAUCUCAGAGAGCCCAGCAGGAGCUGCCUGGCAGCAGCAGAACCACUGCAAAGUGUCUUGGUGAGUACUUGCAGGAUCCAGGCAGCAGCAAGGACCAAUUCUCCCAGCCCCACUGAGGGUGUGAAGAGGCUGAGCAGGGCUUACAGCGUGUGGCAUCAGCAGGGCAUGCAGCCUGGGACCUCACGUGUACUUUAAUGCACUCAGUGAGAGAGGGAGACAACAAAACAGGGCAGGACAGGGGAUUUCCUAACAAAAGGUGGCUGGGUAGAGGUCUUAGGUACAUUUUACCUGAUCUCAAGCAUUUUCUAAUGGCACUUACUGAUGGACUCAGAAGGUCUAAGUUCAAAGAACUACUGAAGCUGAGGACAGAUAGGAAAAGAUGCAGUGUUUCAGCUGUCAAACAGGAGGCUCAGUGCAGAAACAAGCCUCCCUGCUAACUCCAAGUACAAAUCUCAGGUGAGGGGGGAUGAAGAGAUCCAUGCCUUCCUCCUCCCGCAUUCCCAACACAGUGUUCAGCUUACCGUAAAGACAUUUGUGGUGUGGAACCACAUCUAACACCUACCAGAUAGGCUGUCCACACUUUCCAUUGCAGGCAUCAGUUUCCAGUCAUUUAAAACUUCAUCCAGCUUCACUCCAUUUGGUUUCCCAUCCCAGAGCUCCUGUCUCAGAGAUGAAGGUGGGUGCUGCCAUUGCUCCUUCUCUCUGGAUGCUGGUGGACAGGAUGACACUGGCAUCAGGACUUGGCUGUUGGCUGAGCUGUGACCUGCCACACAGGCUGCGUGCAGCUGUACUGACCCAGAGCAGGACGGAUUCCUCACCAUUACAAAAAGACCUCCCUAUCUUGCAAUGGAGAUGUCUUUUGGGCACAGCAUGCACCCUGUCCACCUCCAUCAGCCGUUUCAUGCCAAGUUAACAGGUCCAAGGGCAGCAUGCAGAGAACAAGACCUGCAGAAGGAGGGUAGAGAUAGGGAUGCCACCUUCAGCACUGCCUGGGAAGCAACAUGGAGAUUGGUGGCCCUGCAUGCACCUGACCGCGACAGCCUCAAAGCAUCAAGAUAACUCACAUUUCAUACGUAGCUGGAACUACCUCCCAGUGUCCCAGAACAUGGAACAAGGAAUCCUUGUACCAAGGGAUGGCAUCAGACCCAUCAAGCUGUGCCCUGGGGCUACAAAAUGCAGCAGGGUCCAUGCAAGGCUGUUGUGCAUUGCUCUGUUCUGGAGGAACUGUUUCAGUGUCACCCUUCUGGUUUUAUUUCAUUGCGUUGGUUCUUUUUCCUUUGUUAAAGUUGCUGCUCUCCCUUUCAAAGUCA
This is a long non-coding RNA of Meleagris gallopavo (turkey), 1703 nucleotides long. RefSeq lists it as uncharacterized. NCBI's taxonomy places the organism in Eukaryota, Metazoa, Chordata, Aves, Galliformes, Phasianidae. The record is from RefSeq and is a predicted model, not a curated record.